Molecule: ribosomal RNA, 497 nt
Filed under: uncultured bacterium
Lineage: Bacteria
Description: partial 16S ribosomal RNA
Rfam family: Bacterial small subunit ribosomal RNA
Source: RNAcentral
UGGGAAUAUUGCACAAUGGGCGAAAGCCUGAUGCAGCAACGCCGCGUGAGUGAUGAAGGUCUUCGGAUUGUAAAGCUCUGUCUUUUGGGACGAUAAUGACGGUACCAAAGGAGGAAGCCACGGCUAACUACGUGCCAGCAGCCGCGGUAAUACGUAGGUGGCGAGCGUUGUCCGGAUUUACUGGGCGUAAAGGGUGCGUAGGCGGAUGUUUAAGUGAGAUGUGAAAUACCCGGGCUUAACUUGGGUGCUGCAUUUCAAACUGGAUAUCUAGAGUGCAGGAGAGGAGAAUGGAAUUCCUAGUGUAGCGGUGAAAUGCGUAGAGAUUAGGAAGAACACCAGUGGCGAAGGCGAUUCUCUGGACUGUAACUGACGCUGAGGCACGAAAGCGUGGGUAGCAAACAGGAUUAGAUACCCUGGUAGUCCACGCCGUAAAACGAUGAGUACUAGGUGUAGGAGGUAUCGACCCCUUCUGUGCCGCAGUAAACACAUUAAGUACU